This 201-nucleotide long non-coding RNA is filed under the name Panax ginseng (ginseng). RNAcentral describes it as "long non-coding RNA (PGIN_LNC002304)". Lineage: Eukaryota; Viridiplantae; Streptophyta; Magnoliopsida; Apiales; Araliaceae. The record is from RNAcentral.
AAAAUAAAGAGAAGAAAUGUAUGUACAAACGAGAUAUCCAACAACAAGAAGGAAAUUUAGAAGGAAACAAUAAAUCUAUGAAGAGUAGAGAGUUUCCCAAAUCUUAGUGAAUACUUCAAUAAUAACCCUAUGAUGAGAAAUGGAGUCAAAAUGCAUACACUUUCUGACAAAGGAACUCACAGUGGCACAAUGGUAUUAAAG